AACCAAACACUUUGCAGUUCUCGCGUGAACGAGUAAGAACUCAGAACGAGUGAUAUGGAAUCCAGCGAACAAUGCGCCCUCCUGCCUGAGGCUGAGCCGUCCACCGGCUCCAAAUCCGGUGGCCGCGGCGGGUGGCCGGCCGCGUUCUUCCUCCUCGCGGCUGUGUUCGCCGAGCGCGUCGGGUUCAACGGCGUGCAGGGCAACCUGAUCAUGUACCUCACCGGCCAGCUGGGCAUGUCCACGGCGGCGGCGGCCGCCGGCGUGAACGCGUGGGGAGGGACCGCGUUUAUGCUGCCACUACUCGGCGCGCUCGCCGCCGACUCGUGGAUCGGCCGGCCCCGCGCCGUCGUGGCCUCCGGCGUUCUCUAUCUCCUGAGCCUUGGCAUGCUGACGGUCUCAUCCAUGGUAGCACCACCACAAGCGACAAUGGUGUGCCAGGAUACAGCCGCCGUGUGCUCGUCGCCGGCGGCAGCACCGGCGGGCCGCGUGGCGUUCUGCUACGUCGCGCUGUACCUGCUUGCGCUCGGGCAGGGCUUCCACAGGCCGUGCGUGCAAGCCAUGGGCGCCGACCAGUUCUCGGAGAGCAACCCAGGCGGGCUCGCGUCGCGGAGCUCCUUCUUCAACUGGAUCAACUUCGCCGUGUCGUGUGGCUACGUUCUCUCAACCGCCGGGAUCAGCUACGUGCAGGACAACGUCAGCUGGGGCAUCGGGUUCGGCGCGUGCUGGGCCAUGAUGCUCGUGUCGUUGUUCGUCUUCUUGCUCGGCACGGGAACCUACCGCCCGGAGCAACCGCGAACGUUCGCCGAGACGCAGGCUGCAAAUGCCAUCGCCAUUGACAUGUUCUACCGGCGCAGCUUGCCCACGCCGCCGAGAGGCCAUGGCGAUGACAAGGGGAUUGUCGCUAGGCUGCUUCCCAUAUGGAUGACCACCGUGAUGUACGCGGUGGUGUAAUCUCAGGUGGCCACCCUUUUCACAAAGCAGGGCAGCACCAUGGACCGGCGCAUCGUCAUCGGCACGGGCGGCGGCGGCGGCGUCCUACUCGUCCCGCCGGCGGCGCUGAAGAGCUUGGUCAGCUUCGCCGUCAUGGUCACCAUCCCGGCCUACGACCGCGCCCUGGUGCCGCUCGCGAGGCGCGUCACCAAGCACCCCUCCGGGAUCACGACGCUGCGGCGCGUCGGCACGGGCAUGGUCACGGCGUGCCUCGCCAUGGCCGUCGCGGCGCUGGUCGAGGCCGCGCGGCUCCGCGCCGCCAGGGACGCCGGCCUCCUGGACGAGCCGGGCGUCGCGGUGCCAAUGAGCGUGUGGUGGCUGGCGCCGCAGUUCGUCCUGCUCGGCGUCGCCACCACGUUCACCAUGGUCGGCCUCGAGGAGUUCUUCUACGACCAGGUGCCCGACGAGCUCCGCAGCGUCGGCGUGGCAGCGUGCAUGAGCGUCGUCGGCGUGGGGAGCUACGCGAGUGGCAUGCUCGUGUCGGCGACGAGGAGUAGGGGAGAGAGCUGGUUCUCCGACAAUCUCAACCGUGCUCACCUUGACUACUUCUACUGGCUUUUGGCCGGAAUUAGUGCUUUAGAUGUGCUGGUGUUCUUGUAUUUUGCAAAGGGUUAUGUCUACACUAAGAACAAAGUCUUAUCAAUAUAUAUAGGUAUCCAAGCAUUUGUCCACAUCAAAGCAUUAGAGAGGGAGUGCCACAGUGUCACCGUGCUAGCCAUGGAGUCCGGUCUCCUUGCACAUUCCGACGAGCCAUGCGACGCCGGCUCCAAGCCCGACGCCGACGCCGACGGCCGCCGCGGCGGGUGGCGCGCCGCGCGCUUCCUCAUCGCCGUCGGGUUCCUGGAGCGCGUCGGGUUCAACGGCGUGCAGAGCAACCUGGUGAUGUACCUGGCCGGGCCGAUGGGCAUGUCGACGGCGGCGGCCGCCGCCGGCGCGAACGCGUGGGCCGGGACGGUGCUGGUGCUGACGCUCGUCGGCGCGCUUGCCGCCGACUCGCGCCUCGGGCGGUACCGGGCCAUCGUGGCCGCCGGCGUGCUCCACCUGCUGAGCUUGGGGAUGCUGACGAUCUCAUCAGUGACGCGAGCAACGCACCCACACCCGGUGAGCUGCCAUGACGCAGCCACCGCCUGCUCCCCGCCGGCGGAGGCGGCGGCGGCGCCGCCAUCAACCGCCCGCCUCGCCUUCUUCCACGCCGCGCUCUACCUCCUUGCGCUGGCGCAGGGCUUCCACAACCCGUGCUCGGAGGCCUUCGGCGCCGACCAGUUCGCGCCGCCGAGCGACCCCGGCGCGCGCGCGUCGCGGAGCUCCUACUUCAACUGGUACCACUUCUUCAAUUCCUGCGGCUACGCCAUCUCCAACAGCGCGCUCAGCUACGUCGAGGACAGCGUGAGCCGCACUCGGGUUCGCCGCGUGCUUGGCCAUGACGGCGGUGUACCUCCCCGUCUUCUUGCUCGGCACGGGGACGUACCGCGCCGAGCAACCCGUCCACGGCGGCGGCGCCACCCUCGCGCGGCUCGCCGAGUCGUCCUCCUUGGCUGCGCGUGCGUGGACGGCGAGAGCGUUUGGGCGCAAGGACGCCAUUUGAACAGAACGGCUUCUGGCGAAAGAAGAGGUAGAACAUGGCAAGGGAUUAUUCGUCAAGCUGCUUCCGAUCUGGCUGACCAGCAUAGUGUUCGCCGCCGUCGUGUCGCAGCAGAGCACGCUGUUCACAAAGCAGGGCAGCACGAUGGACAGGCGCGUCGGGGGCAUCGUCGUGCCGGCCGCGGCGCUGAAUUGCGUCGUCAGCUUCACGAUGAUCACGCUGGUGCCGGUGUACGACCGCGCCGUCGUGCCACUCGCGAGGCGCUUCACGGGCCACCCCGCGGGCGUCACCACGCUCCAGCGCGUCGGCGCCGGCAUGGCCACAUCCUGCCUCGCCAUGGUCGUGGCGGCGCUCGUCGAGGCCAGGCGGCUCCGCGCCGCGAGCGACGCCAGCCUGGUCGACCGGCCGGGCGCGACGGUGCCGAUGGGCGUCUGGUGGCUGGUGCCGCAGUACCUCCUCGUCGGCCUCGCGAAGGUGUUCGGAGACAUCGGGCUCGACGAGUUCUUCUACGACCAGGCGCCCGACGGCCUGCGCAGCGUCGGGCUCGCCAUGUCCCUGAGCGUGCUCGGCGUCGGGAACUACGUCAGCGGCGUGCUCGUGUCGGUGAUCGACACGGCGACGAGGAGCGGAGGAGAGAGCUGGUUCUCCGACGACCUCAACCGUGCUCACCUCGACUACUUCUACUGGAUCCUUGCCGCAUUCGCCGCUUUGGAGGUCGUCGUGUUUGUCUACAUUGCAAAGCGAUAUAUCUACAAGAACAAAGGAGAGCCCUGA
Molecule: non-coding RNA, 3346 nt
Organism: Oryza sativa Japonica Group (Japanese rice)
Lineage: Eukaryota; Viridiplantae; Streptophyta; Magnoliopsida; Poales; Poaceae
Source: RefSeq, a predicted model, not a curated record